GGGAAUCUUCCACAAUGGACGCAAGUCUGAUGGAGCAACGCCGCGUGAGUGAAGAAGGUUUUCGGAUCGUAAAGCUCUGUUGUUGGUGAAGAAGGAUAGAGGUAGUAACUGGCCUUUAUUUGACGGUAAUCAACCAGAAAGUCACGGCUAACUACGUGCCAGCAGCCGCGGUAAUACGUAGGUGGCAAGCGUUGUCCGGAUUUAUUGGGCGUAAAGCGAGCGCAGGCGGAAGAAUAAGUCUGAUGUGAAAGCCCUCGGCUUAACCGAGGAACUGCAUCGGAAACUGUUUUUCUUGAGUGCAGAAGAGGAGAGUGGAACUCCAUGUGUAGCGGUGGAAUGCGUAGAUAUAUGGAAGAACACCAGUGGCGAAGGCGGCUCUCUGGUCUGCAACUGACGCUGAGGCUCGAAAGCAUGGGUAGCGAACA
This 425-nucleotide ribosomal RNA is filed under the name uncultured bacterium. RNAcentral describes it as "bacterial SSU rRNA". It matches the Rfam family "Bacterial small subunit ribosomal RNA", at positions 357 to 774 of the family's 1533-position model. The record is from RNAcentral.